AGAGUUAUGUUCAAGUAUGUUUGGUCCCUCAUUUGAGUCCACCUGUGUAGGUUCGGACCCGAGGAACCGAGGACCCCAGCAGUGAGUUCAGCUGCUUCGGUAUUGUCAGAGUCAGCCAGAGGUGAGUGGAACUAAACUCAAUCUUUUAAAUUAAAUGUUUUAUCAUGUUUCAUGCAUCAUGAUUAUGCAAUAGGAUGAUUGCAUUAGUUUUCACGAAUAUGCCGCAUUGCAUAAAUUGUUGUUGUUGUGGGUGAAUGUUGGAUGACCCAAUUAGUCCAAGACAGGAAGACCAGGACCCCAUGCUACGGCCUGGCACAGAGUUACAGUAAGACCAGGACCCCAUUCUACGGCCUGGCACAGAGUAAGGU
RNAcentral lists this long non-coding RNA (368 nucleotides) under Manihot esculenta (cassava). RNAcentral's name for it is "long non-coding RNA (MESC_LNC009033)". Lineage: Eukaryota; Viridiplantae; Streptophyta; Magnoliopsida; Malpighiales; Euphorbiaceae. The record is from RNAcentral.